This 666-nucleotide ribosomal RNA is filed under the name uncultured Bacilli bacterium. Its description in RNAcentral is "bacterial SSU rRNA". It matches the Rfam family "Bacterial small subunit ribosomal RNA", at positions 75 to 720 of the family's 1533-position model. The record is from RNAcentral. Lineage: Bacteria; Bacillati; Bacillota; Bacilli.
GGAGCUUGCUCCACCGGAAAAAGAGGAGUGGCGAACGGGUGAGUAACACGUGGGUAACCUGCCCAUCAGAAGGGGAUAACACUUGGAAACAGGUGCUAAUACCGUAUAACAAUCAAAACCGCAUGGUUUUGAUUUGAAAGGCGCUUUCGGGUGUCGCUGAUGGAUGGACCCGCGGUGCAUUAGCUAGUUGGUGAGGUAACGGCUCACCAAGGCCACGAUGCAUAGCCGACCUGAGAGGGUGAUCAGCCACAUUGGGACUGAGACACGGCCCAAACUCCUACGGGAGGCAGCAGUAGGGAAUCUUCGGCAAUGGACGAAAGUCUGACCGAGCAACGCCGCGUGAGUGAAGAAGGUUUUCGGAUCGUAAAACUCUGUUGUUAGAGAAGAACAAGGAUGAGAGUAACUGUUCAUCCCUUGACGGUAUCUAACCAGAGAGCCACGGCUAACUACGUGCCAGCAGCCGCGGUAAUACGUAGGUGGCAAGCGUUGUCCGGAUUUAUUGGGCGUAAAGCGAGCGCAGGCGGUUUCUUAAGUCUGAUGUGAAAGCCCCCGGCUCAACCGGGGAGGGUCAUUGGAAACUGGGAGACUUGAGUGCAGAAGAGGAGAGUGGGAUUCCAUGUGUAGCGGUGAAAUGCGUAGAUAUAUGGAGGAACACCAGUGGCGAAG